CUGCUCGCUUCGGCAGCAGAUAUACUAAAAUUGGAACAAUUCAGAGAAGAUUAGCAUGGC
Ophiophagus hannah (king cobra) is the source of this 60-nucleotide small nuclear RNA. NCBI's taxonomy places the organism in Eukaryota, Metazoa, Chordata, Lepidosauria, Squamata, Elapidae. The record is from Rfam.